Long non-coding RNA from Cyanistes caeruleus (blue tit), 766 nucleotides. RefSeq lists it as uncharacterized. NCBI's taxonomy places the organism in Eukaryota, Metazoa, Chordata, Aves, Passeriformes, Paridae. The record is from RefSeq and is a predicted model, not a curated record.
AAAAUGUAAGACCUUCCUGGGCACCUCUGCUACAGCCUGGGUUUGCACAGGCUGAGCAGGACAUGGAUGAUUGAAGCCAGGGUGCAGGAUGGCUUGAGCUGGGACAUGGUGUCUGGGCACUGAGAAGGGAGCAGGGCACGUGGGAGCAGUUCCUGUUUCCCUCCCCUGAAAGGAUUUGAUACACAAAGUGAGAGCUUUGGUCACCAAGGCAUGUUGUGAUCAUUCCAGGCUCCAACACAACAGUGUGCCAAGCCUACCUGCACCUCCCAGUGAUGUGGUCCCAACGCUGAGCUGGUGCUGGCAGAGAGGUUCAGGUUGAACCCACUCAACCUGGUGUGCAGCCAAGGAGUCUAUUUGAAUAUCUCCAUCAGCUGCCAUGGAGCUACUUCAGAUUAACAGCAACGUAACACCAACGUCAGGACCUGGAUCUUCCAGAGAAUCCCGCUGAUCUUACAUCAUUGCAAUAGCUGAUUUAAAAUCACAUUUCCUCGGCUUGAGAAGCUUUUCCCUCACACAAAGGAGCUUCACACAUGCUGCAGGUGCUGAUACUACAAACGUCUGACUGUAAUCCACACAUCAGCCUGAGAGCACACCAGUCCUGGGAGAGAUUGCCUCCAGCAGUCGUUUCAAGCCUGGUUAGAGGAGCAGAAUGGAAGCAUCAGCUAAAGCGAUGAAAGUUACAUUUUCUAAUAAUGGAAAUGAGAUGGAAAUGUUGGGCAGCUGCUAGGGGUUUCCUCUAUUAUCUGAUUUUUUAAAAAUAAUACUG